CACAACAAAACCAUUAUAAUCCUACAACCUUUAAAAGUGAGAACUUGGUUUUCACUAUUCAUGCAAUAGUUCAUUGACUAAAGUGCCCUUAAGCUUCUCCCAUUUAGCAUUUGUGCCAUCGUGCUCAUCUGUUGCCACGUUCCUUUGUGGGCUCUUUUCUUUUUCCUCUUUUCUCAACUCUGGGAUCUUCUUCCCCCUUCCAUUUUCAAAAAACCCUAGCUCUCAUCUCUGCAAUUUCCUCCGCCCCCUUCGCCUCCUCCUUCCAGCAUCUUAGGGGUUUUGAUUUGGUGUUUCAGAUUCGACUGCGGAUAUCUCCAUUCUCCUCCGGCACCCCACACUUUGAUCUGCUCCCAUGAACCUCUCAUCUGUAUGUUUCGAUCAUAUCUUGAAGAUUGAGUUCGAUGUAGGAAGCGGUGAGCUUAAAGCCAAUGUCGAGGAGUGGAUCUGUACUGAAGCUCUAUAUACUUCCCCUUUGUCUUUCUCCAUUGAUUUUUUCCUUUGCGAUAUUAAUAAGGUUUAACAGAAGUAAGAAAGGGAAUGAAACCGGAGAAACUGCGAGCUCUUGAUUCGUCUUCGUGCAAGAUAAUCAGCUUCUGUGACGGAUAAUUAGGCUGGAAAUUUAGCUUUGGUGAGUAAUUAUGGGAAGCAGUGAUGACGUGAUGUCUCCUAAGUCAGAAAAAACAUCUCCACCUGCAACUGAGCACAAUGUCGUUCAUAUGUAUCCUGACUGGGCGGCCAUCCAGGCAUAUUAUGGCCCUAGAGUUGCUGUGCCACCAUAUUUCAACUCAGCUGUUGCACCUGAACACCCACCUCCCCCUUAUAUGUGGGGACCUCCUCAGCCUAUGCCCUAUGGUACCGCCAUAUGGGGCACCUUAUGAUGCAAUUUACGCACCAGGAGGAGUUUAUGCGCACCCUGCAAUCCCUCUUGUUAUUCUUUUAUUUCAAAGGAUAGAAGGUGUAAAUGUUUGCCUUUUUCCAUGCAUGUCCAAGAGGUUGGAUCAUCCUGUAACCAGUAGAAUCAAAGAUGGGUCGAUACUUUUUAUCUUGAUAUUGUCAAGUAUUUUAGGCCUGACACAAAAGAGAUAAAAGAAGAAGCCCUUAAGUAUUGUUUAUCAUGAAUUUUUUUGGUAUACUUUCUACCCUAACUUUUUAGUCCAUAUUUAUUUGGAUUAUCAUAGUGGAGAUAAUUUCUCUAAUGUAUAGCAUUGUCUUCUUCUUUCUCUCAUGUUGGAUACCUUGAUUAUUGCAAGAGGCUUUAUCACCUGAUAUAUAUGGGUUUGUCUAUUAGUUAAAGGAGAAGAAUAUAUUCUACACGGUCAUCUAGAGACACAAAAAUCACCUAGACCUGACGAGUUGCGGCAGUGGUAUAAAUUUCUUUUACACGAUCCUUUCCCUACUCAUAAGAAUCAUGAUAAGUUUGUUCAUGACAUGCUUUAUACUUGUAUGUUUUACACUCUGGUUUCUCUUUUUGUUGUCUUUGGGAAGAUUUGAAACAUAGUACAUUUUUAUGCAAAUUGCACUCUUGUUAUUCUAAUCCUCUAAAGAAAAGAGAUAGCAAGUGAGCUAAGUUUCUCAGAUAAGGAAUUUCUGUAGAACAUGUUUAAGUUAGCAUGUAACCUAUAGUCCCACUUGAUUGCUUUAUUCUUAGGGAGGUAACUUAAUUCAUUGAGUUCUUCACUUGUUAUGUGAGUUGACAUUAGGUUGCCAGCUAUGUGAUAUAAGUAACAGUAUUGCAAUGUCGUGAUGUCGUCAAUGAAAUGCCUUGUUUAGUGGUGAAAGUUAGUGAUAUUUUUAUAUUUCUAACUAAUUAUUUCUUUUGUGUAUUAGUUUUUUCCAGAUUGUUGGGGGUACCAAGGACAACAUAAGCACUAUUUAUGGUAGGACUAUCUGAAAUUGCCGAAGAAAAGAAAAUUCAGGAAGCCUAAGCCGGAAUGGUGGUGGUUGGGUUCAGUACUCAGGAUGAUUGCUUUUGGGUUUAGUAUUUUGGCUCAAAUGUUGUUGAUGGUGCUGCUUAGUUGUUGUUUCCUUAUUGUUGAUGUAGUGGACUUGAGGGUGCAAUGAUGUUGUCUCUGUUCAUUUUGGCAAGAGUGGAGGUUGGGUUCAGUACUCAGGAUGAUUGCUUUUGGGUUUAGUAUUUUGGCUCAAAUGCUGUUGAUGGUGCUGCUUAGUUGUUGUUUCCUUAUUGUUGAUGUAGCGGACUUGAGGGUGCAAUGAUGUUGUCUCAGUUCAUUUUGGCAAGAGUGGACUUCAUUUGACUCUUUUUGGGUGUUUGUAGCUUUUUGUUGAGCGUGUCUUUGCUCUUUGUUUGUUUUGGUAGUUGUGUAUGUUUUGGUUUUAUUUCUUAUUGGUUGGUGGGGUUUUUUUCCGACCCUUGUAAAUACUUUUUUUAUUACAAAAAAAACAUUUAACAGUAUAAAGUAAUACA
This is an RNA transcript of Spinacia oleracea (spinach), 2425 nucleotides long. It is a transcript of the gene named common plant regulatory factor 1-like, with no coding region annotated. The transcript is spliced from 9 exons. Lineage: Eukaryota; Viridiplantae; Streptophyta; Magnoliopsida; Caryophyllales; Amaranthaceae. The record is from RefSeq and is a predicted model, not a curated record.